AUAAGAUUAGACCAAAAGUUAUAAAUAAAUUUAUAGGUAUUUAAUUAUUGAUUAUAAGAUUUUCACACUUACUUUACCAAGUUUCACCAGAUUUGAUAAUAUAAAAAAAAUCAAGAGAUCUUACACUAGUUGACAAGGAUUCUGAUUGUUACGAAUUUUGGCUUUAGGCUUUGAUUUUAGAUAUCUGGCUUUAGAAAAUUUGGAUCUGAGAGCUGUGGCUUUAAAAAAUGUAGCCGUUAUUAAAUUUUGUGGAAAUAUAUUUCGUAUUAAAAUUGUAAAAAGUUAAGAUUUAAUUAUUUAAUAAUUAGAAUUUUAUUUAAUGAUAUAUAUAUAACUGUAAAGUAUUAGAAAAUGGAUUUCAAAAGAACGAGAGAAAAAUAUUAUUCAUUAAUUAGUCAACAAUUUAUUUAGUAUAAAAAAAUAAGUUUUUAAUAUUUUGGGGAAAGAAAGAAAAAUAAAAAUAUAAAAAUUAAUGAGUCCAACCGUAGAAGAGACAAUGAAAGUAUGGAAAAAAAGACUUUAGGCAAAAAAUGAAAAAGAAAAAAGAAAAACAAAAAAAAAUUAACUGCAAGUGAUUUUCAAAACUUUAGAGAAAGAGAAAGCCAUCAAAGGUUGAUUGGAUAAGGGAUGAUGUUGUCUCUCUCUUUCUGCUCUGUCCUCCCUCAUGAAUCCGACACGGAGGAAGGGCUGAGAUGAAACUUCAACCGAAGUUUUUUACAAACCCACCUCCGGUUAGCAUGUUUGAUUCUGGGAAGCGGUGAUUCCUUCCACACAGCCAUCGCCAGUUUUUGUUUCGGGAAAACGGUGGCUCUGACAGCACCGGUUUCGCCGGCUUUCGUCCCUGGAGAAGCGGUGGCUCUGACAGCACCGUCCUUUCGCCGGCUUCUUCUCCGGAUUGAUCCGGAAUCAGUUCACCCUUAGUCUUUCUUUGCCCAAUCGACUCUCGAUCUGAGAAUCCAUGUUGAUUUCUUGGAUUGAUCGCAGAUGAUUGAUGUUUUCUUGGAAGCGUAGAUCCAUGGUUCUUGAUCUACAACGGUUUUGGCCUCUAUGGUGGAGUUUGGUCGCGUUUUUUCUCUGACUCCGGUGGAAGAUGAUGUCGUUUUCUGGUGGAUGUCCGAUUAUUGCG
This 1126-nucleotide long non-coding RNA is filed under the name Brassica rapa (field mustard). RNAcentral's name for it is "long non-coding RNA (BRAP_LNC000995)". Lineage: Eukaryota; Viridiplantae; Streptophyta; Magnoliopsida; Brassicales; Brassicaceae. The record is from RNAcentral.